Molecule: ribosomal RNA, 262 nt
Filed under: uncultured archaeon
Lineage: Archaea
Description: partial 16S ribosomal RNA
Rfam family: Archaeal small subunit ribosomal RNA
Source: RNAcentral
AGGGUGUAAACGCUGCAGACUUGGUGUUGGAGGCCCUUUGGGGGCAUUCAGUGCCGGAGAGAAGUUGUUAAGUCUGCUACUUGGGGAGUACGUCCGCAAGGAUGAAACUUAAAGGAAUUGGCGGGGGGAGCACCGCAACGGGAGGAGCGUGCGGUUUAAUUGGAUUCAACACCGUAAAACUCACCAGGGAAGACUGUUACAUGAAAGUCAGGUUGAUGACCUUACUAGAUUUUCAGAGAGGAGGUGCAUGGCGUCAGUGACU